AUAAUUAUUUAGGUAGCAUCUUUGCCUCAUGCUUUUUAAUGCGAGUAGUCAUGGAGAAUGACGCCUGCUGACUCUUCUGAUGGCAUAACGCUUGAGAAAGGAUGUAGGGCUUGUAAGCAUAAGACACAUAGUCAUGCAUUGAUCUAUGAAGUAUCAUUUGGAUUUAUUUUUGGUAGUAGGAAAACACACCAUUUAUUAUCUGAUAGAUAGCUGUAUUCCUUCAAGCUGUCAAUUGAUGGUUGAUAUAGGCAUUGACGUCUAUAAAUAGG
Molecule: long non-coding RNA, 269 nt
Filed under: Elaeis guineensis (African oil palm)
Lineage: Eukaryota; Viridiplantae; Streptophyta; Magnoliopsida; Arecales; Arecaceae
Description: long non-coding RNA (EGUI_LNC027349)
Source: RNAcentral